AUAUCACUGGUGGAUUAUGAAACUCAUCGAGCAUCAUUUUGAUGAUCGAUAACCCUCGAAGGGUGGAAUUGAAAAUGUUCCAAUCCAUCGAAAAGAGUUUCGAUGAUAUUAUGAUGGAGAUCACAAUAUAUCUCACUACCAGAUAGAAUGGAACCUAUGAGGUCACACAUUAAGAAAUUUAAUCUCGAAUUUGCCAAUUGAACUUAUGAAGUUCUAAUUGAAUUAGGAUUUAUUGAAAUCCUAUUGGAUUUAAUAGAACCAUGCUAGCACAUGGUUAAAUCUAAUUCUCCUCGAAACUUCAAUUGGAUCAAGUCCAUAGCCUUGAACCUAACCUAAAUCCAUUUGGGUUUAAUUGGGCUCUUAAUUGUAAGCCCAAGAAGAUUGGAUUAUGUCAAUGAGUUGGCAUGAAUUAUCUCCUCAUUAUCUCUACAUUAUCUCCUAAUUAUUUCUAAAUGGUGUAAGGAAUAGUUGGAAAGAAUGGGUGGCGCCUACCUCCCCUUUUGGCAGGACCAUAGGGCACUAAUCCCAAGGAUAAUGCAAGAGGGGUCCGCCCCAUCUUGUGGCUUGGCAUGGAGGAGAGAGAGAGAGGGGCCACGCCCCCUCUCGUAUGUCAGAAAACCCUAAGGGGGCACCCCAACUACCUGCCCUAUGUAAGAUGGGGCACCCCAUAUACCUGUCUAAAGGAGCUAAUUAUAUGCCAAUUAAGUCUGAUUUUAUUGAAAAAAAUCAGAUUAAAAAGGUAGAGUAUUCUUAUGAAAUAAGGAUGUACCUUUUUAAGUUAAUUGGGUUCUUCUUUUGAGUCAAGGUAGAGCCUAUAUAAAGAGAAGGUCUUUUAGAGUUUCAAGAUAGUUGAAUUUUGUGAAACAAAACUCUCCCCCUCCUUUCUCCACGCCUCCCCUCCUCCCUCUUCUCUUUCCCACGCCCAAGGAUUGGGCAUCCCACUCUUCUACACACCAAAGGUGGAGGUGAUCUUCUUCCAGAGCGAAGAACAAGGAGAAGAAGGCUACAGAUCAAAGAGUUGAUUUCAUGGUCUAGAUCAAGGAGUUGAUCGAGGUUCUAAAGCUGAAAUUCUACUUGAAGAAGAAGAAUCUACUACGAGAAGAUCGGUUCGAGAUUGAUCCCAAUGGAUAUCCGUAGAAGCCGGACACGUGUGCAGCUCGAGGACCUUGAACGUAAGAUCAUCAAUAGCGGUGAAUUUCUACCCGUGCCNNNNNNNNNNNNNNNNNNNNAUCUCUACAUUAUCUCCUAAUUAUUUCUAAAUGGUGUAAGGAAUAGUUGGAAAGAAUGGGUGGCGCCUACCUCCCCUUUUGGCAGGACCAUAGGGCACUAAUCCCAAGGAUAAUGCAAG
This 1348-nucleotide long non-coding RNA is filed under the name Elaeis guineensis (African oil palm). RNAcentral describes it as "long non-coding RNA (EGUI_LNC003518)". The record is from RNAcentral. Lineage: Eukaryota; Viridiplantae; Streptophyta; Magnoliopsida; Arecales; Arecaceae.